ACACGGGGGGAAGGAGGUGGAGGAGGGAGCAGCGCUGGGUUAUAGGUUGAGGCGCUGCUGCUGCUGUCCCUUUCACUGGCGCACGCGUACCCAGAAACCCCCCUGAUUAACUUAAAAUAUUUUUUUCUGAUCGCGGGUCACGGUCGUAGCUCGUGUCAUUAGACUCCGCCCACUUGCGGCAUUUUACCCGCAAUUCGCGGCCUGUUGGGAGGGGAUGUCAUCAUUCCAGGCAGGAUCCUUAGUGCUGGAGAGAAGAUUCAACGGGCUUCCUAGCCCUGCCAAUAAGAGCCAUAAAAGCAGUCCAGAAGAGGUCUGCUGCCACCUCUGUCUCUGCACAGCUCCAGGUUGAGGAGGGAGAUGUUGCUGGGCCUUCAACCCAGAUCACUCCACCUCAGCGACGCAUCUUGCAAGUGUCAUCCAGAAAGCCAAGCCACAUACUGGAGUCCCCGGAACGCCAGUCUCCUCCUACUCCACAUAUUGCUGGUGACAGUGGCAUGUGAGGAGGACAUUCAAGAGGAACUGCAGCCAGCAGAAGAGGGGGAGCCUGAAAUGGAGGCGAUGUAUACACUCAACUUAACGGCAAUGGGCCUAAUUCAGGCCUGUUCGCUCGCUAGGGUUUUUUUGCAGUCCGCAUAGUCGUCGCCCAUAGGGGAGUGUAUUUUCGCUUUGCAAGUGUGCAAACGCAUGUGUAGCAGAACUGUACAAACAGAUUUUGUGCAGUCUCUGAGUAGCCCUGCAAUUACUCAGCCGCUGCGAUUGCUUCAGCCUGUUCAGGACCAGAAUUGAUUUCAGACACCCUCCCUGCAAAUGCUUGGACACGCCUGCGUUUUUCCAAACACUUCCAGAAAACGGCUUCUUCCUGUCAAUCUCCUUGCAAAUGCCCGUGCAAGUGGAUUCAAUGCACAAACCCAUCGCUGAGCGGCGAUCCGCUUCGUACCCGUGCGAUGCACCUGCGCAUUGCGAUGCAUACGCAUGUGCAGUUUAGACCUGAUCGCAGGCUGUACGAAAACGCAGCCCAGCAAUCAGGUCUGAAUUUGACCCAAUAUCUCCACCUUUUGCUAACACUACCUAUUUUGUGCUCCCCAUUACCAGACAUCAGUACCGCAUCACCUGCAGCACAACUGAUGAGGGGUAUAUAUUUUCCUUCUCUAUUCCCCUCCUUUUCUCUGUCUGAUUCUAUUGCUUGUAUUAUAUUACUAUAUUUCAUAUCUUUGAAGCAAAUGUAUAAUUUUAACCCUUUAGUGAUUUAUAAUAAUUCAUCACUAAUUGUGUACCUUUUAUAAGCAAACCCGCAGAGGUUGCAUCUAAACAUAUAUAUCUUUAAAUCAUUAGGAAUAUUCUGUUCAUAUAAGAAUGCACGCCUGUCAUAUAGAAUGUAAAUCAUAAGAAUGUAUUUCAACAAACAAUUGCUACUCAUAGAAUUCACUUUUAUCAUUAAACAGUAUUGGUCAAAUACAAUGCAAGUCACCAUAUAAUAGUUUCACAGAUUCAAACUAUAUAAGAAACAAAUAGGAUGAAAGAAGUGUGGGAGAUGUAUGUACUGUACUGUAUGUGUGUAUUUAUUACUGGGGCGAUAUUACUCAAAGCACUCAGCUAAAUCCUAGAUUUAUUGAUAUAUAUUGGACAAUAUAUAUAUAUCUUAGAGAAAUACCUUAGGGGAUUGGUUUUGGUUUAUGUUUGUGUGUG
Long non-coding RNA from Pseudophryne corroboree (corroboree frog), 1686 nucleotides. RefSeq lists it as uncharacterized. The record is from RefSeq and is a predicted model, not a curated record. Lineage: Eukaryota; Metazoa; Chordata; Amphibia; Anura; Myobatrachidae. The transcript has 4 exons.